GGGAAGGUGGCUCAGUGGUAGAGCUCUUGCCUUGUAUGCCUGAGGCCCUGGGUUCGAUUCCCCAGCGCCA
Molecule: non-coding RNA, 70 nt
Organism: Dipodomys ordii (Ord's kangaroo rat)
Lineage: Eukaryota; Metazoa; Chordata; Mammalia; Rodentia; Heteromyidae
Source: Rfam